This 354-nucleotide unclassified non-coding RNA is filed under the name soil metagenome. RNAcentral's name for it is "partial contains 5.8S ribosomal RNA, internal transcribed spacer 2, and large subunit ribosomal RNA". The stretch from base 1 to 120 matches the Rfam family "5.8S ribosomal RNA", at positions 35 to 154 of the family's 154-position model. The record is from RNAcentral.
GAUGAAGAACGUAGCGAAAUGCGAUAAGUAAUGUGAAUUGCAGAAUUCAGUGAAUCAUCGAAUCUUUGAACGCACAUUGCGCCCGCUAGUAUUCUGGCGGGCAUGCCUGUUCGAGCGUCAUUUCAACCCUCAAGCUCCGCUUGGCGUUGGGGAUCGGCGUGGCGGCCCUCCGCGGCCCGCUGCCGUCCCCUAAAUAUAGUGUGCGGUCCCGCCGUAGCCACCUCUGCGUAGUAGUUUUCUCCUCGCACCGGCAGCUUGGUGGCGACCCCGCCGUAAAACCCCCAACUUCUGAAAGGUUGACCUCGAAUCAGGUAGGAAUACCCGCUGAACUUAAGCAUAUCAAUAAGCGGAGGA